UUCAAUAUGUCCGAGUGGUUAAGGAGACAGACUCGAAAUUUGUUGGGCUAUACCUGCGUAGGUUCAAAUCCUACUAUUGACA
Molecule: non-coding RNA, 82 nt
Organism: Cucurbita moschata (crookneck pumpkin)
Lineage: Eukaryota; Viridiplantae; Streptophyta; Magnoliopsida; Cucurbitales; Cucurbitaceae
Source: the annotation of a RefSeq genome assembly